Molecule: long non-coding RNA, 3478 nt
Filed under: Lathyrus oleraceus (garden pea)
Lineage: Eukaryota; Viridiplantae; Streptophyta; Magnoliopsida; Fabales; Fabaceae
Description: Pisum sativum (pea) long non-coding RNA (PSAT_LNC009533)
Source: RNAcentral
UGUGGAAAUGCGAUUUUAUUUUUAGGAAAGAAAUUGUAUUUAAUUUUAAAAAAGAAAAUAGAUUAUAAUGAAUAAAAAACAAAUUCAAAGUUAAACAAACUAAUAGAAACUUUUAAAUUAAAAAGAUGAAAGGACAAGAUUUAGUGUUAAAGUAAACUUUGACAUUAGUGUCAACGGAUCGUCCUGACUCAUAUAUAGGAAUUAUCAAAUAACACCCGGAGAGUUACACUCAUUCAAUAAUUCAUAUAUGAUGAAAAAAAUUGAAAGUAAUUUUAAUUUUUCAUAGAUUCGUAUGAGUUUGUGAAUCGAGUAUAUUGAUCAUUUACGAGUCUGAGUUGACUGGCUAGUAUGACAACAUUGCGUUGUGAGAUUUUACCCUUUCAACUCAUUCUUCAUCUUCAAUUCAAGAUUUCCAGGAUUCUAAGGGUGGGGCUCUUAGAUAGUCUUAGCUCCAAUGCAUGAUAGAUUAGGUGUAGGGAGAUUUGAUUGUAAUUAGGUUAUGAGAUUUGUGGUUGAAUGCAUAAUUUGUGAUAGUUUGGAUGUUGACCUUGAAUGAUGCUUAACAUCUGUUAUUUGUGUGUCUGUGUGUGUUAUAGAAUGUUUGCGUGUGUUGGAUUACUGAAAAAUCAUGUAAAAAUUUGUAUUUGAGAAUAAUUGUCCCCCGUAAUCUAUGCAGAGAGAGAAUAGAUUGAUGCCUUUAAUUCUUCAAAAAUAAAAGUAGUUCACUCAAUGGGAGUUGAAUAAAUGACCUCUCUAUCAUAGUGCAAGAACCUUACCACUAGGACAAGCUUCUUGUUUUAUUGAAUACUCUUAUGCGAUGCUUCACUUAUGUAUUCAUAUGAAUGAUGUGUGUCAUGUCUAAAAUUUUAUUUCAUUGCUUAGAGGGUAUUGGUAUGUGAGUUAUACCGAAAUAGUGUGAACACGAUUAAAAACCCUAAUCGAUCAUAAGAACAUAUAUUUGUCUUAUGAUGUGAAAUGGUGCCAAGUGUCGUAUGAUGUAACUAACAAAUAUACCAGAAGAUUCAUUGGUUGUAAGUACGGCAUAUGAAACCCAAAUCGGUUGUAAGAAUGUAAUUGUAUCGUGAUUGAAGUAUGAAAGAUCAACUACAAUUGUAAGAACCGGAGUCUCUUGAUAUCAUACAUAGUAUGCGACGAAUGAUAGAGUAAGACUCUAGAGUUACCAUUUAGGUUAAGUGCAAACCCUGAUGAUGUGUUUGUAUUUAUAUGCUUGCCUAAUUGAAUAAACGGUAAGUGAGAAACUUAUCCCUUAAAAGAGAUUAAUUAGGGAAAUAAUAUUUAAAAAGCUAUGUUAUAUGUGUAUGCUUAUAUAACUGAGGUUACUUGGUAGUCAGUGAUACCCAUGGAUCGAGUUAGAAUUUGAUGGUGUGAACUCAUAAGAAGUACGAUGACACUUUGAGUUCGGCGACUAUUGGCAUCUGUUGAUUUCACAGUGAAUCAAGUGGAAUAGAUAGAUAAAUGUAAAGGUUUUAUACUUUUCAAAGGAUAUAAAUUUGUAAAGUGAAUUCCAUGCAGCGGAGUCUGGAACUCCAUCAACCAUAUUUAGUAGACAGUGAGUUCUACGUAGUGGAGGUUUGGUUUCUCAUUGACCAUGCCUGGUGGAAAAUAUUAGGACUAUCCAUAUAAUGGAGGCUAGAAGAGGCGUUGGUCAUAUCUAAUAGAUUGUACAAUCCAUACAAUGAAGGUUAGGACAAUCAUUAUCCAUAUCUUAUGGAUAAAGUCAUCUAUUCAGUGGAGGUUAUGAGUGUCGUUGGUCAUAUCUGAUGGAGUAUGUACCCAUACAGUGGAGGGUAAGACUUUCGUUGGCCAUAUCAGAUGGAUUGAUUAUCACCACAGAACGAUAGAUAUGAGUAAUGUUUUUCAUAUCCGGUAAAUAUUGUAUUUUAUACGGUGGAGGUUGGGUACUAUUAUUGGCCAUAUCUUGUGGACGUUGUUUCCAUGUAGUGGAGGCCAGGUUAUACCAUUGGCCACAUCUGACGAAUAGAUCUUUAUGAUCCAUUUGGGUUAAUCCCCAUGAGUUUCAUGACAAGUGCAGUCGUGAGUUUGACAUUCAUAUAUAUGUUGAGAGGCUAGCAGAGCUUCGUUAUUCCCGUUGUGUAUCUAAUACGCGAGAGUAGUAUUAAAACACUGUAGAGCCAAGUGGACCCAUAAGAUCUGGACUCCACUAAGAUUUAAUUAUCUUACUCCAACCAUAUUGUUGUUUUCGUGUUAGCUACAAGAGCUGGCGAAUUUGCAAGAAGACAUGGAUGUUGAAGACUUGGAUGUCUGAUGAAUAACAUUGAUGUGUUUCUUUUCUAUUUAGUUAUUGGAAUUCUUUAAAAAAAUUAUACUAUUUCAUAAUUUCAUAUUUAUAUUAUGUAUUAAAAUAUAUUAUAAAUUACUCUAAGAAUGAUCAAAAUAAUUAUAUAUAUCAAAUUACACUAAAAAGAUAAGAAAACGUAUAUUUAAAAUAUAUUAAACAAUAUAAUACAUAAAUUGAAAACAUAGUUGUUAAAUGUUGUGAAAACAUAAAUAUCAAUAUUGUUGAAAGGUUUGAAAAUACAUAUUAUUAAAAUCUCAAUAUUAAUAAUAUAGUUAAAAAUUCUGAAAAAAAUAUAUUGUCAAGUUAUUAAAAUGUUUGGAAAAAAACAUAUUCGACGAUAGUGUUAAAAGAUACGAAAAUAUUGUUACAAUAAACAUAUAGUUUCUUAGCUUUGUAUGCUAUCUUUAAAGUUCGACAAGACGCAAAUAUAAAUCUAUAAAAGAUCUUUAAAAUAUAAAAAUAAAUUUUUUUUAGUAUAUUUUAAAAAAAAAUAGUCUUGUUUUCAAAAUAUUUUUGAUAGUCUAAAGUAAAUGUUUAGUCCAAAUAAAAAUAGAUUAAAAUAGAGGUGAAAUAAAUAUAUAUAUAUAUUAUGUGAAAUUGUUAUAAAUUUUAAAAUCAAUAGGAAUGAAAUACAUGAAUACUCAUAUGAAUGAUAUAAUAUCAAUGUUGGUAAAAGUUAUAAUAUCCGAAUUUGACUUUUGUUAAAAGUUUAGAAAUAUGUUAAUAUUUGAGUGUAUUUUUGUACAUAUGUAAUGUUUGAAAAAAUAAUAUCUUGAAAAUAUUAAAAUAAAGUAAAUUUUAGUAUUUCUCAUUUUUUAAAAUUAAAUUUAGUUAAUUAUUGAAAAAUAUGAAAAGCCAUAUAAGUGUGUUCAGAUUAUUGAAAUUAUGAAAAGACAUAUCACUGUUUAAUAAGUUAUUGGUAAAAAGUAUGAAAAGUCAUAUAAUUGUUCAGGUUAUUAAAACUAUGAAAAGACAUAUCACUAAGUAUGAAAAGUCAUAUAAUUGUUCAGAUUAUUAAAACUAUGAAAAAACAUAUCACUAUUUAACAUGUUACUAGUAUUAAAAUAUACUAUAAAAAGUUAUAUCAUUAUUCAGGUUAUUAAAACUAUGAAAAGACAUACCACUUUUUAACAUGUUAUUCAAAAAUAUGAAAAAUUA